This is a long non-coding RNA of Argiope bruennichi, 685 nucleotides long. RefSeq lists it as uncharacterized. The record is from RefSeq and is a predicted model, not a curated record. The transcript is spliced from 3 exons. NCBI's taxonomy places the organism in Eukaryota, Metazoa, Arthropoda, Arachnida, Araneae, Araneidae.
CGAAAUAUGAAUUUCUAAACGAAAAUACUGAAUCUUGAAAAUUAUAUUAACAAUUCGCCGGCCUGUCAAACUUUUUAGUUAUACUAUUGUAGUAUGCAAGUCGAUUUCAAAUAUAUGCAGGAGAAUGCGUCGCCGAUUUUUGAAAGCGUAAUCCUGGGGAAUAUGCAAGGAACUGGUUUCUGGAUUGAAUAGUUACUGGAUAGUUCCACUCCAAGAUCACGAUUGUUUGAUAGAAAUGAAUGUCCUAGCAAUAAAUAUUUGUGUUCAAUGAUAUUUAUUUCGUUAUCGCUGGACUGAAUAAGCGGUGGUGGAAGUAAACAUUAUUAUCAACACACAAAAUUAAAAUAUACUUUUUAUUAUUUAUAAAAUACUGUACAACUACUGAUUUUCAAUAUCAAAAAUAGAUAAAUAAAAACACUCUAGAUAUCAGACAUGAUGUCAAACGGCCAUAUUUCCUUCAUCAUAGAGCAACCGGAGCUAAAUUUUGCCGUAAUAUAGUCGGUCAAAUAUAAUUUCAGUCUAAGAUGGACAUGCACCACUUUCAAAAUAAACAGAUUUGCAAUACUGUUAAGAGCUAAAACUUCCAUCUUCAAAAUACUAGAAUCUAAAUAUUUUUUUACUAUAAAUUUUUUACUCAUAAAAAGUUUUAUCUAUAAUUGCCAUUAUCUCCAUUUUUUUCAAAAAU